CUAGUAUAGAGAUUUAAUAAAGGUUGCCCCAGUGAUGCCAUGGGGUUGUCUUCCUGUCCAGGAUGUAGCCCAGCAACAUGGCCUCCACUUAAGCUUUGCACUCCUGUAGUGCCCAUUUGUGUCCAGGUCUCUCUCCACCUCUCCUGAAGAUUACUUUCUUUUCUCUUCGUUUGAAACCUUCCAACUCAACCUUACAGAUCCAAGAGCCCACUGUGCGGACUGAGCUGAUGGGGCAGAUCCCUCCUCCCAGUACAUCCUGCCUGGUGGAGCACGGUACCUUGAGGAUCCAGACAACCAGGCCAGAGGGUGCUGACGUUGAUCUCUGUGUCCUCCUGCCUUGGGAUGCUAGAUUAUGGACCUUCACCAUCAUAGUUGGCAAGAAAGUUGACUUUUCCAGAUGAUCCAUUUGGGUACAAAUACAAACAAGGUUGGCACAUUGGGUUUACGUAAGUUUCUUAGUCUCUGACGCUGGUAAGAACUGUGCUGCUCCUCCUCUCCUAGCUGUGGAUUGACUGAAAGCCCAGAAAGUUUGUCCCAUUG
Molecule: long non-coding RNA, 540 nt
Filed under: Mus spicilegus (steppe mouse)
Lineage: Eukaryota; Metazoa; Chordata; Mammalia; Rodentia; Muridae
Description: lncRNA (ENSMSIG00000026818.1)
Source: RNAcentral